This 76-nucleotide transfer RNA is filed under the name Actinomycetes bacterium. Its description in RNAcentral is "Actinobacteria bacterium tRNA-Arg". It matches the Rfam family "tRNA". Rfam says of the family: Transfer RNA (tRNA) molecules are approximately 80 nucleotides in length. Their secondary structure includes four short double-helical elements and three loops (D, anti-codon, and T loops). Lineage: Bacteria; Bacillati; Actinomycetota; Actinomycetes. The record is from RNAcentral.
GCGCCCGUAGCUCAGUGGACAGAGCGGCGGACUUCUAAUCCGCGGGUCGCAGGUUCGAAUCCUGCCGGGCGCACCU